AUGGCUUUCCUGAACAUGGAGCAGCACACCUGGGCCUUCACCUUCGGUAUCCUAGGCAACAUCAUCUCACUGAUGGUCUUCCUUUCACCACUCCCGACGUUCUACCGUGUGUACCGCAAGAAGUCGACGGAGGGGUUCCAGUCGACGCCCUACCUGGUGACGCUCUUCAGCUGCCUGCUGUGGAUGUACUACGCCUUCCUCAAGUCCGGCUCCGAGCUCCUCCUCACCAUCAACGCCGUCGGCUGCGUCAUCGAGAGCCUCUACAUCGCCAUGUACCUGGUCUACGCCCCCAAGAGCGCCAGGCUCCUCACCGCCAAGCUCUUCAUUGGCCUCGACGUCGGCCUCUUCGGCCUCAUCGCCCUCGUCACCAUGCUGGCGUCGCACGGCACCCUCCGCGUCCAGGUCGUCGGCUGGAUCUGCGUCGCCGUCGCGCUCGGCGUCUUCGCGGCUCCCUUGAGCAUCAUCAGGCUUGUGAUCCGUACCAAGAGCGUGGAGUUCAUGCCCUUCUCGCUGUCCUUCUUCCUGGUUCUCAGCGCCGUCAUCUGGUUCGCAUACGGCGCGCUCAAGAAGGACAUCUUCGUGGCGAUGCCCAACGUGCUGGGCUUCUUGUUCGGCGUGGCGCAGAUGGCGCUUUACAUGGCGUACCGGAACAAGAAGCCCGCCACCGUGGUACUGGUGCACGAGGAGAUGAAGCUGCCAGAGCACGUCAAGGAGGUGGCCGGCGGCGCCAAGCAGGGCGGCGCGCCCACCGAGGGGAGGAUCAGCUGCGGCGCCGAGGUGCACCCCAUUGACGUGCUCCCUGCCGUGGCCGACGAGCAAGCCGCCGCAGCGGCCGACGAAGACGUGAUCCGCGACGACCAGAACAUGCUCAGGCCAGAGCAGCCGGCGGUCAUCAAGCCUGACGUCGCCAUUGUCGUCCAGGCGUAG
This 927-nucleotide ribosomal RNA is filed under the name Triticum aestivum (bread wheat). RNAcentral describes it as "partial small subunit ribosomal RNA". The record is from RNAcentral. Lineage: Eukaryota; Viridiplantae; Streptophyta; Magnoliopsida; Poales; Poaceae.